This 471-nucleotide ribosomal RNA is filed under the name uncultured bacterium. RNAcentral describes it as "partial 16S ribosomal RNA". It matches the Rfam family "Bacterial small subunit ribosomal RNA", at positions 28 to 507 of the family's 1533-position model. The record is from RNAcentral.
GACGAACGCUGGCGGCGUGCUUAACACAUGCAAGUCGAACGAUGAAGCCUAGCUUGCUAGGUGGAUUAGUGGCGAACGGGUGAGUAAUACGUGAGUAACCUACCUUUAACUCUGGGAUAAGCCCGGGAAACUGGGUCUAAUACCGGAUACGACCAAUCUCCGCAUGGGGUGUUGGUGGAAAGCGUUAUGUAGUGGUUAUAGAUGGGCUCACGGCCUAUCAGCUUGUUGGUGAGGUAACGGCUCACCAAGGCGACGACGGGUAGCCGGCCUGAGAGGGUGACCGGCCACACUGGGACUGAGACACGGCCCAGACUCCUACGGGAGGCAGCAGUGGGGAAUAUUGCACAAUGGGCGCAAGCCUGAUGCAGCGACGCCGCGUGAGGGAUGAUGGCCUUCGGGUUGUAAACCUCUGUUAGCAGGGAAGAAGAGAGAUUGACGGUACCUGCAGAGAAAGCGCCGGCUAACUACGUG